AUUAGUGUUUUCUUCCUCUGCUUUUGGAAAUAAGGAAAUAAUUCGGUAUUAGACGAGGAAUACGUAUUAUUAGUGCCCCAUGUCAAUUAAACUGCAUUUUCCCCCCAAACUAACUGUGUCUAUUUUCUUCUAAUUUAUGGAUUAGCAUCGGGAAACGGACGCAGUUUCUGCUGAGACUCGAUGGGCCUAAAAGUUCAGAUACUAAGCGCUUUUGGGGUGGAACAUGAAAGGGAAAAAGGAGCAAAAAAUAGAGGAUUGGGUCUUAAUUUGUAAAAGUUGAGCCCUUUGUGGUCGGUUUGACUCACGCGCUUCGACGUUUAAAAGAUGACGCAGUGGAAAUUCUGCGGCGGGAUUUCGCUUUGAAAGAUGAACAAACUCCAUAUUCCCGUAUAAUUUAUUAGAGCAAGUCCAUUCUGAAAGCUGGCGAGCGAAACACAAUAAAACUUCACUGUCUGCAGGAAAUCGUUCAUCUAAAAGAUGCGUCUUAUAUAUCUUAUAGAUGAGUCAUCCUGGAUAAAGGCUUAGACAGGAUGGAGAGGCAGUUUCACCGCAGGACUAUGAGGCUGGUUUCCACCACAUUCACCCAUCCUAACAAGUGGUGGGGAAACCACCUUAGCAAAGCUCAUCUGGGCCAUUGCUUGCAGAAAGGACCAUUGGGGUCAAACUGCCAUCUAUUAAGGACCCGGCCCAUCAACACUGUUUGACAAAGGCAAAGAGGAACAUUGGGACCCAUCUCACCCCCGCCACAGCCUGAUCUCUCUGCUGCCUUCAGAAAGACGAUACCACACUGAGAUGUUGCUGAGUCAGUUUGGACCAUGACAUCAUCAUCAUGAGAUGAGGAGGCUGGUGACCGCAGGCAGGGGCAGAAGAUGGGGUGCUGUUUGUCGUGGUUUGCAGCUGCUGGUUCUCUGUAAACUUAAUUGUGCUGUGGAGUUGCUUCAGGGAAUAUUCAGCUCAAAUGUGGAAAGAAGGAAUGAAGUCUGGGGGUUUGAGGGUGCAGUAAGUAAGAUUUUUAUGGACACAUUUCACCAGAUGACCAUAAAACACCUGCAGGAGGUUGUUGUUGUUGUUAAUGUUCCAAGUUCUGAGGCUUUUUUCCUUCGGUAUAAUGAACAGCUUUCCAGUUUGUUCUUGUUUUUUUUCAUUUCAUGUAAUGGUAUUCUUGAUACUUAGUUAUACUUAUGUUGUUAAAAUAACAGCUGAUGAUGAAAAUAGUAUGUGAAAAACAGAUUAAAGUGAACCUACUCUGGAGUUUUACCAGUUGUGAAUGCAGUAACGUGAGAAUAAUUCUUCUAUAUCGCAACUUAGCACAGUAUAGAAGGAGAAAUACUUUACAGAGGAAAAGAGAGAGGAAAAAAGAAAAAGAAAAAAUAUGGAAAUGAUCAAUUAUUUACUUUAGUUGAUUAUCAAAGCAUUAUCACUAAUAUUAUUAUUACAGUUUAAUAAUAGUAAUGCAAUUUAAUUAAGAUGAUGACAAAACCAAUAACAUAAAAAAAUAAAUAAACACAAAUACCAUUGAUUUCUUUUACUGUAGCGUCCCCUUAAACUGGAUUAGUACCUAUGUUACACUUCCUUUCAGGACUGAAGCAGUAACAUCAGGGCUAAAAUACUUUGUUUUUUAAAAAGAAAUUAACCAUCCCCCUCAUAGACUGUCUUUUGCUGGAUACCUUGUAUACAUAAAAAUACAUUAUGACGAAAGUAUUUCACUUUCUGGUUGAAUUUAGGCUUUAAUCUCAAUUACUGAGGAGUAAAAAUUCAAAAUAACUUGGUUACCGUCAUGGCACCAUUUUUAAGCCAUAAUUUACAUGCACUUGCUUUUGUGACCAGUAGAGAACGCAUAUUCUUCAAACGUGAUUACGAGAUGUUUUGAGCGGGAUGUACACAUGUUUUCAGGAGGAAGACAGUGUAGAUUGGUAAUGUAGGAUUGUAUGUUCAAAUAGUUCUCCCUUACAAUUACUCAGAUAUUAAAAUUUUCUGUGAUUCUUGUGAAUUCUUAUAUUACAAGUUUAAGUACACACACAAACAUAUAAUACAACAGUCCAUUGCAAUAAAAACAACAAAAAGCAGAAUAAAAAAUGAAAAAAAAAAACUGCUUCUCAAGUCAUUUGAAAAACAAUAGCUCGUUCAAUAUACUAGACCAUUCAAUAUUAUCAAUACUCUUUCAGUUUCAUGUCUAUUAUUAGGCAGAUACCUAUUCAUUAAAUUUGAAAACAUUUUCUAUUAUUUUCCAAGAACAGAAAUCCUGGCAAUCAAUUCCAUGCAACCAAGCACCAUCAGUGGUGUACACUUUUAACAGUGUGCUGAAAUGUAAAGUAUAAUAAUUAAAGCCAGUUUCAUGUCUUCUUGCAGAACAGUGGAAAACUAAAAACCAAAUAACGAAGUGUGCUUAUUUAAAAGAACAACAAUUUAAUUCAAUGCAAAGCAGUGCUUAUGUAAAUUAAUAAUAAUAAAAGAAAUAAUCAUUUGAAAAUUUCAAUAUCACACUGCUGAACAUUUGUCAUGGAAAAAUAACUGCAUUUAAAUUCAUAGUGAUUAUGUCUCCUUUUAAUUGCUUUUUUCCAACAGUAUUGCUACAUUAUAUAAAUUCAUGGGUUAAUUUAAAGACAAAAGUUGAAUACUGGAAUAUAUAAGCAUACAAGCAAAUUUUAUAGCACAUUUCAUGUACAAGACAAUUGAAAGUGCUUUAGAUAAAACAUUGAAGGCUGACUAAUUAGGAUUCCUUCUGUAAAAUUAAUUUAAAAUGUUCUCACUUGUUGCCAGGGAUAAAAGGAAGCUUCCCUAAAAAAAUCUGUCUCCUACAUCAACAACGUCUUUGUCAAGUUUUUCCCUUUCAAAAUAAGAGUUCCGUUUUGGAAUAACUUUGGUGCACUGUGUUGCUCUUUCCUACUUCCUGGUUCCUUAUCCAAUCAUAUGCGACUCCCCACAGUUGCCUAACAACAACCAGCAUUUGGUAUUUUAUGUGGGCGAAAGAGAAGCAGCAUGCAGGUAUGGAAUCUAGUAAAAAAAAAAGCGGACCAGAAAUAGUUUCAGAAAAACCUACAAAGCCACGGCAUCUUGCUAAAAAAGCAAACGAUCAAAAACGGAAUAACACGAGGAUCAAUACUGGAGAAGUCUGAGCUGGCAAAGUUUCUCCUCGACAAGUGAGCAAGUAUUAGUGGAGUAAACUGGUGGCCUGUUAGUUUACAACAACAAAUGUAUUGAUGUUUGGGCCAAGUGUAUAGUGUGUUUGUCCUUAUAAACUUAUGAAAUUACUAUCAAAUUAUUUCAUUAAGUGCGACUACGGGAUAACUGCCGCUGCGUGGCAUUUGUUUGAUUAAUGUAGCUUUUGUUUAUACUCCGUUUUAUUCUAACGUAAAUUAGUGCAUGAAAUUAGCGCUAGCAUUGCAAAGCAUAGCAACUUACUGUAUGUGUGAAUCAUCUUCGAUCCUCAUCAUGAUGUUUGCUGGCGCUAUGUUCUCCGUCCUUCAUAGACUGUCUAAAAGAGCCUUCCUCUCACGAACCAGCAACCUCCACAAAACUCUCCGAGGGGAAGUUGGGGAGGGAGGAAUAAGGCUCUCCAUGUUUUUCUCUUUCGACUGCAGUUCUGAUUUGAAACACUAGGUGUCAAUGCUACUUAUUUUGUCUUUAAAGCAUUACAGCAGGGUGCAGAAGAAGCAUUAAAAAGUACAUUUUAAACAAACUUUAAAGGCGCAUUACAUAACUUUCUGACCUCAAAUAUCCUCUUUCCAGACUCCUUUGAUGGCACAGUGACAUCUGUCAUGUGUAGUUCUGGAGCUGUUGCUGCCCAGCAGUGUCCCAAGGCUGAGAAACCACAUUAUACAACUUUAACUUCCUGGACGCCACAUGACCUUGCAGCUGAGUUUUGCUUUACACACCACUUAGCAAGCGGAUAUAAACACACCAGCCAUUUUAAAUGUGCACUAUGGCUGAUUCAGCAAGGAAACAAAAAAAAACAUAGUCAGAGGAAAUGAGGAAAAGAAAGAGAAGCUCUCAAUACAGGUAGGAUCAUAGACUAUAUAAAAAAGAUGGACGGAGCGUACGUGAGAUCACUCGUAGGUUUCUGAAGAACAAAAGGGAAACACGUUGGGCGUUCCCACUGUCACCAUCUCUGUAGCGUUACGCGUGUCGUUAGUCCCGGAAAAUCCAAAAAUGGGCAAAGACGUCGAGGCGAGAGGGGGACUGUGAAUACCUGGAUUGGAUACCUGCCAAUCCUGUGAGAAGUUAUGCAGUUGAUUACAAAAACUCUAACUACAUUUUUUUCCAUUUUUAUUUAAUAUUUGUUUAAACAUAAAAUAUUUGAAUCCCCAAGACAACUUUACAGGCCAUUUCGACCAUAUUCUAGAUAUUAGAAUAUUUUAAUAUUCAAAUUUAAAUAUACACAUGUUUUUUUUUUAAAUACUUUAAAUAUUUUACUUUGUGCUUUAACUUAUUUUUUUAUGCUUGAAUUGAAAAAGAAGACGUUUCAAACUGACCUGAAUAUUAGACUGAGCACACAUCUCUCCAUAUGAGCCCUAUAUAUAUAUAUAUAUAUAUAUAUAUAUAUAUAUAUAUAUAGUCAUUUACA
Long non-coding RNA from Melanotaenia boesemani (Boeseman's rainbowfish), 4564 nucleotides. RefSeq lists it as uncharacterized. The transcript has 5 exons. NCBI's taxonomy places the organism in Eukaryota, Metazoa, Chordata, Actinopteri, Atheriniformes, Melanotaeniidae. The record is from RefSeq and is a predicted model, not a curated record.